CGCACGUCCAGCUUACAGCUCUGCCUGGCCGCUAAUGGUGAAGCAGAGGAGAUGGCUGUCAUGGUAACUCACGCUGGGCGCCUUUAGAAGGCAAGAACGCUAAGUGGCAGAGGAAGACUCUGGGGAUGGUGAAACUAAGGCCUCAGGGAAGUAAUUUGCCCAAGGUCACGGAGCUGUGCCAGAGCUGGGAUUCAAACAGGAGCGCCUGACCCUAGCACCUGGGCUCAUGACAGCUGAUCAUCAUGGAACCAAACACCGAGGACGUGCUAAUGGGGUGGAAUCCCAGCCUUGUCUGCCCUGACAACUCGCGCCCUGUCUUGCGAGGACCGCAGCGCAGGGCGCUCCUGGGCCACCCACUCA
Molecule: long non-coding RNA, 360 nt
Organism: Cervus elaphus (red deer)
Lineage: Eukaryota; Metazoa; Chordata; Mammalia; Artiodactyla; Cervidae
Exons: 3
Source: RefSeq, a predicted model, not a curated record